GGCUUUCUGGUGCUCACCACAGGCUGUGUUCUUACAAAAAGAGGUGGCAAAGUAAACCCACUCCAUAUACACCUCAGUUCAUGUCUGGUGCCUAGUCUAUAUUGUGAAUAGGGAGAGACAUGG
This 123-nucleotide small nucleolar RNA is filed under the name Castor canadensis (American beaver). Its description in RNAcentral is "Small nucleolar RNA SNORA51 (ENSCCNG00000023884.1)". It matches the Rfam family "Small nucleolar RNA SNORA51". From Rfam's summary of the family: ACA51 is a member of the H/ACA class of snoRNA that guide the sites of modification of uridines to pseudouridines. The record is from Rfam by way of RNAcentral. Lineage: Eukaryota; Metazoa; Chordata; Mammalia; Rodentia; Castoridae.